Long non-coding RNA from Sus scrofa (pig), 783 nucleotides. RefSeq lists it as uncharacterized. NCBI's taxonomy places the organism in Eukaryota, Metazoa, Chordata, Mammalia, Artiodactyla, Suidae. The record is from RefSeq and is a predicted model, not a curated record.
UUUCCCUGGUAACUGAUGAGCCAAGCUGACGCCAUUUCCCCCUAUAAAUGGAAGCCUCAUGGGCCCUGCGGUUGUGCUGGUUGUUGCUGCGUCCUGUUUAUUCUCUUCAGGACAUGGUGGGGUGUCGCUCCAGGACCUUGCUUCAGCAUCAGCCUAGAGAAUGAGAGCAGCAAACAGCCUUUGGAAUUUGGGCAAGUUCUUUUACCUGGGACUCAUCAUCUGUGUCAUGUGAAAAAGACAAUGAUGCUUGGGCUGCGUUUCCCAGAAGGAGCCCGGGUCAGAUUCUGCCACUGACACCUUGCACAAGGUCCAGAAGCUCUAAAAGGAGGGGAUGCCCUGUUUCCCAGACACUGGAGAGGUAUACCAUGAUCCUCAGAAGAAAGCCUGCUUUUGAAAGAAGAAAUGUUUUCGCAUCCUUACCUCAAAACUAACAACGAUUACGCAUCAUCUUCCAGUUACGAAGUUUCCUGGUUUUUUUGUGUUGUUUUUUUUUUGUUUUUAAAGCUAUCACUCAUUUAAGUACCUCACAGUAAGCCGUUAUGGCUUAUCAUGGUAUUAUGGUUUAUCAUUGGUAUUUAAUAGGGUCCCCUGGGCUGUGCAGGAGGACUCUUGUUUAUCUGUCCCAUAUAUACCACUUUGCUUCUGCUAAUCCCAACCUCCCAAUCCAUCUCUCCCCGCAUCCUCCUUCCCCUUGGCAAACACACGUCUGUUUUCUGUGUGACUCUAUUUCUUAGGUAAGUUCAUGUGUUGUGUUUUAGAUUCCACCUAUAAACGAUAACAGGA